AGACUCUACAUGUUUAUGGUUAGUGAAGGAAGGUUUAUGUUAUGAUCAUGGAAACCGUAAAGGAGUGAUCUAAAUCAUUGGCGUCGCUACUCUGCUGUGUGAACAUGCUUUGGUCUUUGUUGCUCGACCUUGUUCAAAAAUAACUUCCUGUUCCUUUAAGGGAUCUCUCCAAAAAGUUACCGUAGUGACGUUGCGUAUAUUCCAUAUUCAGAGAAAGUCCAGUGGCGGAGUGUGGAAUCUCCUACUGCGAGAGCAGUCUCCUCUGGGUGCUGAGCCAAAAGCAGAACAUCUUUUCAUCAUGAACACAGACAAAGAUCCUGAAUUUACCGCCCCAGAGGGAAACAGGAUGGACAUCUGUAGUGAUGUCGCAGACGCGAAGCCACAGGAGGAGGAAGAAGAGAGGGAAGAUAACUUAUUCAGUGAGAAUGGAAUGCAGUGUGCUGAAAGUGUAACGGACCCACGUACGUACCACCCCCCCCCACACACACACACACACACACACACACACACACACACACACACACACACA
This 529-nucleotide long non-coding RNA is filed under the name Sander lucioperca (pikeperch). RNAcentral describes it as "lncRNA (ENSSLUG00000013417.1)". The record is from RNAcentral. Lineage: Eukaryota; Metazoa; Chordata; Actinopteri; Perciformes; Percidae.